Molecule: ribosomal RNA, 400 nt
Filed under: uncultured bacterium
Lineage: Bacteria
Description: bacterial SSU rRNA
Rfam family: Bacterial small subunit ribosomal RNA
Source: RNAcentral
UUAGGAAUAUUGGACAAUGGGCGCAAGCCUGAUCCAGCCAUGCCGCGUGAGUGAUGAAGGCCUUCGGGUUGUAAAGCUCUUUAGUCCACGAAUAUAAUGACUGUAGUGGAAGAAUAAGCCCCGGCUAACUUCGUGCCAGCAGCCGCGGUAAUACGAAGGGGGCGAGCGUUAUUCGGAAUCACUGGGCGUAAAGCGUGCGUAGGCUGUUUUGUAAGUCAGAAGUGAAAGCCCAGGGCUUAACCCUGGAAUUGCUUUUGAAACUACAAGACUCGAAUUCGGGAGAGGAUAGCGGAAUUGUCAGUGUAGCAGUGAAAUGCGUAGAUAUUGACAGGAACACCAGUGGCGCAAGCGGCUAUCUGGACCGAUAUUGACGCUGAGGCACGAAAGCGUGGGGAGCAAA